Long non-coding RNA from Leptinotarsa decemlineata (Colorado potato beetle), 519 nucleotides. Lineage: Eukaryota; Metazoa; Arthropoda; Insecta; Coleoptera; Chrysomelidae. The record is from RefSeq and is a predicted model, not a curated record.
AUCUGUAGCCUUGAAUGGAAUUGACGAAACAGUCACAACACAGUACAGAAGCCGAGGUUCUGAUAUACUCACAUCUACCUCUAGGGAGUCUAGGGUACAAUCAGACUCAUAUGAGCCCACCCCAUCAACACUAUUAGAAAUAAAUCAGACAAUAGCCGAAAACUUCCAGCUUUACAAAGUUCAUGCUGUAACUGCAAGAACACGGAAGCAAAGCUGGAUUCUGCAAUUAGGAAGAUUGAUUUACUAGCACAUGACGUUAAAUUUUUGUUACAAAUAGUACAGCGAAAUGCCAUUUGUGAAGAUGUGGAAACUCCUGAAAAUUUGAAUUUACCAAUAAAUCAGGAGUGUGAAUUGAAAGAAUUUGAUAGAAAAUUGGAAGAUGAGGAUUUUUUUCGAAAUAUGUCCGCAUCUUUGUUAAGUAUUGGAGGCAAAGACAUUAGAGAUUCAACAAGUAGAAUAAUGGCCAAACUAGUCUCCCAUGAGUUAUCUCUUCAAUAUAACUGGACUGGAAGGGGGAAA